Molecule: microRNA precursor, 156 nt
Filed under: Oryza brachyantha (malo sina)
Lineage: Eukaryota; Viridiplantae; Streptophyta; Magnoliopsida; Poales; Poaceae
Description: MIR812 microRNA precursor family
Rfam family: MIR812 microRNA precursor family
Source: Rfam by way of RNAcentral
UUUAAUUUUUGACUCUUCGUCUUAUUCAAUGUUUUUGUGAUUGAUAUUUUUAUUUUUAUUAGAUGAUAAAUCAUGAAUAGUACUUUACGUGUGACUAUUCUAAUUUUCUAAAAAAUUUUAAAUAGGACGAAUGGUCAAACGUUGGACAUAGAAACC